ACGGGUGAGUAAUGUCUGGGGAUCUGCCCGAUAGAGGGGGAUAACCACUGGAAACGGUGGCUAAUACCGCAUAACGUCCCAAGACCAAAGAGGGGGACCUUCGGGCCUCUCACUAUCGGAUGAACCCAGAUGGGAUUAGCUAGUAGGCGGGGUAAUGGCCCACCUAGGCGACGAUCCCUAGCUGGUCUGAGAGGAUGACCAGCCACACUGGAACUGAGACACGGUCCAGACUCCUAGGGAGGCAGCAGUGGGGAAUAUUGCACAAUGGGCGCAAGCCUGAUGCGCCAUGCCGCGUGUAUGAAGAAGGCCUUCGGGUUGUAAAGUACUUUCAGCGGGGAGGAAGGCGAUGUGGUUAAUAACCGCGUCGAUUGACGUUACCCGCAGAAGAAUCACCGGCUAACUCCGUGCCAGCAGCCGCGGUAAUACGGAGGGUGCAAGCGUUAAUCGGAAUUACUGGGCGUAAAGCGCACGCAGGCGGUCUGUUAAGUCAGAUGUGAAAUCCCCGGGCUUAACCUGGGAACUGCAUUUGAAACUGGCAGGCUUGAGUCUCGUAGAGGGCGGUAGAAUUCCUCGUGU
Molecule: ribosomal RNA, 576 nt
Filed under: uncultured bacterium
Lineage: Bacteria
Description: bacterial SSU rRNA
Rfam family: Bacterial small subunit ribosomal RNA
Source: RNAcentral